GCAUUUGAGGACCGACUAGUACGGCGAGUGAAGCGGCAAGAGCUCAAAUUUGAAAGCUGGCCCCCUCGGGUCCGCAUUGUAAUUUGCAGAGGAUGCUUCGGGAACGGCCCCCAUCUAAGUGCCCUGGAACGGGCCGUCAUAGAGGGUGAGAAUCCCGUCUGGGAUGGGGUGGCCGCGCCCGUGUGAAGCUCCUUCGACGAGUCGAGUUGUUUGGGAAUGCAGCUCUAAUUGGGUGGUAAAUUUCAUCUAAAGCUAAAUAUUGGCCGGAGACCGAUAGCGCACAAGUAGAGUGAUCGAAAGAUGAAAAGCACUUUGAAAAGAGAGUUAAACAGCACGUGAAAUUGUUGAAAGGGAAGCGCUUGCGACCAGACUCGCCCGCGGGGUUCAGCCGGCACUCGUGCCGGUGUACUUCCCCGCGGGCGGGCCAGCGUCGGUUUGGGCGGCCGGUCAAAGGCCUCUGGAAGGUAACGCCUCUCGGGGCGUCUUAUAGCCAGGGGUGCCAUGCGGCCUGCCCGGACCGAGGAACGCGCUUCGGCUCGGACGCUGGCAUAAUGGUCGUAAGCGACCCGUCUUGAAACACGGAACCAAA
Molecule: ribosomal RNA, 589 nt
Filed under: Penicillium citrinum
Lineage: Eukaryota; Fungi; Ascomycota; Eurotiomycetes; Eurotiales; Aspergillaceae
Description: partial large subunit ribosomal RNA
Rfam family: Eukaryotic large subunit ribosomal RNA
Source: RNAcentral